Molecule: ribosomal RNA, 301 nt
Filed under: uncultured bacterium
Lineage: Bacteria
Description: partial 16S ribosomal RNA
Rfam family: Bacterial small subunit ribosomal RNA
Source: RNAcentral
CAGCAGCCACGGUAAUACGUAGGUGGCAAGCGUUGUUCGGAAUUAUUGGGCGUAAAGGGCUCGCAGGCGGUUUCUUAAGUCUGAUGUGAAAGCCCCCGGCUCAACCGGGGAGGGUCAUUGGAAACUGGGAAACUUGAGUGCAGAAGAGGAGAGUGGAAUUCCACGUGUAGCGGUGAAAUGCGUAGAGAUGUGGAGGAACACCAGUGGCGAAGGCGACUCUCUGGACUGUAACUGACGCUGAGGAGCGAAAGCGUGGGGAGCGAACAGGAUUAGAGACCCCCGUAGUCCCUGUCUCUUAUAC